UACAGAGGGGGCCAGCGUUAUUCGGAAUUAUUGGGCGUAAAGGGCGCGUAGGCGGCUUGGCAAGUGGAAGGUGAAAUCCCUCGGCUUAACCGAGGAACUGCCCUCCAAACUGCUUCGCUUGAGACCGGGAGAGGUGAGUGGAAUUCCGAGUGUAGAGGUGAAAUUCGUAGAUAUUCGGAGGAACACCAGUGGCGAAGGCGGCUCACUGGUCCAUUACUGACGCUGAGGUGCGAAAGCGUGGGGAGCAAACAGG
This 253-nucleotide ribosomal RNA is filed under the name uncultured bacterium. RNAcentral describes it as "partial 16S ribosomal RNA". It matches the Rfam family "Bacterial small subunit ribosomal RNA", at positions 524 to 776 of the family's 1533-position model. The record is from RNAcentral.